RNAcentral lists this ribosomal RNA (397 nucleotides) under uncultured bacterium. Its description in RNAcentral is "partial 16S ribosomal RNA". It matches the Rfam family "Bacterial small subunit ribosomal RNA", at positions 360 to 775 of the family's 1533-position model. The record is from RNAcentral.
AAUAUUGCACAAUGGAGGAAACUCUGAUGCAGCGACGCCGCGUGAACGAUGAAGGCCUUCGGGUCGUAAAGUUCUGUCCUGGGGGACGAUACUGACGGUACCCCAGGGGGAAGCCCCGGCUGCCUCAGUUCCAGCAGCCGCGGGAAUACGUAGUGGGCGAGCGUUGUGCGGAAUUAUUUGGCGUAAAGGGUUCGUAGGCGGUUUUUUAAGACAGAUGAGAAAGGUCACGGCUCAACCGUGGUAAGCAUUUGAAACUGAAAGACUUGAGUUAAGGAGAGGAAAGUGGAAUUCCUAGUGUAGCGGUGAAAUGCGUAGAUAUUAGGAGGAAUACCAGUGGCGAAGGAGACUUUCUGGACUUAUACUGACGCUGAGGAACGAAAGCGUGGGGAGCAAACAG